RNAcentral lists this ribosomal RNA (290 nucleotides) under uncultured bacterium. Its description in RNAcentral is "partial 16S ribosomal RNA". It matches the Rfam family "Bacterial small subunit ribosomal RNA", at positions 773 to 1060 of the family's 1533-position model. The record is from RNAcentral.
GUGGAUUAGAUACCCUGGUAGUCCACGCUGUAAACGAUGGGUGCUAGGUGCCGGGGGGAGCGACCCCUUCGGUGUCGGAGCUAACGCGUUAAGCACCCCGCCUGGGGAGUACGGCCGCAAGGCUGAAACUCAAAGGAAUUGACGGGGGCCCGCACAAGCGGUGGAGCAUGUGGUUUAAUUCGAAGCAACGCGAAGAACCUUACCUGGGCUUGACAUCUACGUGAAACCUUCUGGAAACAGGGGGCCUUCUUCGGAACACGUAGACAGGUGCUGCACGGCUGUCGCCAGCU